Molecule: small RNA, 143 nt
Filed under: Enterobacter sp. NFR05
Lineage: Bacteria; Pseudomonadati; Pseudomonadota; Gammaproteobacteria; Enterobacterales; Enterobacteriaceae
Description: STAXI RNA
Rfam family: STAXI RNA
Source: RNAcentral
CGUUGUCUCCGACAACAGCCAAUGUCCCAGCAAUCUGAGAGGGACGCCUUCGGGUGAUUGCCUGAAUCGCCACGGAUUUAACAGAUACCUCGGAGUCAUUUAAGAUGGCUUAAUGAGAGGUGCCCAUGAGCGGUAAGCGUUAU